Molecule: unclassified non-coding RNA, 378 nt
Filed under: uncultured bacterium
Lineage: Bacteria
Description: contains 16S-23S intergenic spacer region
Source: RNAcentral
UCCGGCUUAUCACCGGCAGUCCUCUUAGAGUCCCCGGCAUUACCCGCUGGCAACUAAGAGCAGGGGUUGCGCUCGUUGCGGCACUUAAGCCAACACCUCACGACACGAGCUGACGACAGCCAUGCAGCACCUGUGCUGGUGUUCCGAAGAAGGGCUCGACUUUCAUCGAGCUUUCACCAGCAUGUCAAACCUAGGUAAGGUUCUUCGCGUUGCUUCGAAUUAAACCACAUGCUCCGCUGCUUGUGCGGGCCCCCGUCAAUUCCUUUGAGUUUUAGCCUUGCGGCCGUACUCCCCAGGCGGCAUACUUAACGCGUUAGCUCCGGCACGAACCAACUGAAUGGCUCACACCAAGUAUGCAUCGUUUAGGGCGUGGACUAC